UACGUAGGGUGCAAGCGUUAAUCGGAAUUACUGGGCGUAAAGCGUGCGCAGGCGGUUAUGCAGGACAGAUGGGAAAUCCCCGGGUUCAACCUGGGAACUGCAUUUGUGACUGCAUAGCUAGAGUACGGUAGAGGGGGAUGGAAUUCCGCGUGUAGCAGUGAAAUGCGUAGAUAUGCGGAGGAACACCGAUGGCGAAGGCAAUCCCCUGGACCUGUACUGACGCUCAUGCACGAAAGCGUGGGGAGCAAACAGG
RNAcentral lists this ribosomal RNA (253 nucleotides) under uncultured bacterium. RNAcentral's name for it is "partial 16S ribosomal RNA". It matches the Rfam family "Bacterial small subunit ribosomal RNA", at positions 524 to 776 of the family's 1533-position model. The record is from RNAcentral.